Molecule: non-coding RNA, 29 nt
Filed under: Rattus norvegicus (Norway rat)
Lineage: Eukaryota; Metazoa; Chordata; Mammalia; Rodentia; Muridae
Source: RNAcentral
UAGAUUGUAAGAAGCCUUUGUUUAAUUAC